ACAAGUAAUUAAGAGCAACAGGCGGAUGCCUGGGCGCUGAACGGCGAAGAAAGACGUGGUAAGCUGCGAUAAGCCUCGGGGAGGAGCUAAACAUCCUUUGAUCCGUGGAUGUCUGAAUGGGGAAACCCGCCGGGAGUAAUGUUCCGGCAUCUCCACAUGAAAAGAUAGUGUGGAAGAAGCUGACCCAGGGAAGUGAAACAUCUCAGUACCUGGAGGAAAGGAAAUCAAACGAGACUCCCAAAGUAGCGGCGAGCGAAAUGGGAAGAGCCCAAACCAUGUGGUUUCGACCAUGUGGGGUUGUAGGGCCGCCGGACGUGAUUCUGGAGUAGGCAGGAGAAGUCGGCUGGAAAGCCGCGCCGGAGCGAGUGAAAGCCUCGUAUCCGAAACCGAAAAGGACACAGGCGGUACCUGAGUACCGCGGGGCACGAGAAACCCCGUGGGAAUCCGGGAGGACCAUCUUCCAAGGCUAAGUACGAAUCAGCGACCGAUAGUGAACCAGUACCGUGAGGGAAAGGUGAAAAGAACCCCUGUCAGGGGAGUGAAAGAGAAUCUGAAACCUGUUGCUUACAAGCUGUGGGAGCCACAUGACGGUGGUGACCACGUGCCUUUUGCAUAAUGAGUCAGCGAGUUAAUCUGUCGUGCGAGGUUAAGCGAGAGCGGAGCCGUAGCGAAAGCGAGUCUGACAAGGGCGACAAGUACGGCGGAUUAGACCCGAAACCGGGUGAUCUAUCCAUGAGCAGGUUGAAGCAAGGGUAAAGCCUUGUGGAGGACCGAACCAGUAUCGGCUGAAAACGAUUUGGAUGACUUGUGGAUAGGGGUGAAAGGUCAAUCAAACCCGGUGAUAGCUGGUUCUCCCCGAAAUAUAUUGAGGUAUAGCCUCGGGGAUUGUCUGUCGGAGGUAAAGCACUGACAAGGCUAGGGGUCCUACCAGAUUACCAAACCUUUUCAAACUCAGAAUGCCGACAAGAUGUACCCCGGGAGUCAGACGGCGGGUGCUAAGGUCCGUCGUCGAGAGGGUAAGAGCCCAGAUCGACAGCUAAGGUCUCGAAAUCCAUGCUCAGUGGUGAAGGUGGUGGAGUUGUACAGACAGCCAGGACGUUGGCUUAGAAGCAGCCAUCGUUUAAAGAAAGCGUAAUAGCUCACUGGUCUAAUGACUCUGCGCCGAAAAUGUAACGGGGCUAAGCAUGGUACCGAAGCUUCGGAUUCCUCUUUUGAGGAGUGGUAGGGGAGCGUUCUCUAUGGGCAGAAGCUGCAUUGUAAAGUGCGGUGGACGGUAGAGAAGUGAUUAUGCUGACAUGAGUAACGAUAAAACAGGUGAAAAACCUGUUCGCCGAAAACCCAAGGUUUCCUGGGUAAAGUUAAUCUUCCCAGGGUGAGUCGGACCCUAAGGCGAGGGCGAAAGCCGUAGCUGAUGGAAAACGGGUUAAUAUUCCCGUACUUCUUGUGGUGUGCGAUGGAGGGACGCAGAAAGAUAGGUGGGCCAACUGUUGGAUGUUGGUGCAAGCUGGUAGGAAUGCCUCGCCGGCAAAUCCGCGAGGUGAAUCCGAGAAGCGAGUCCGUGGGCGCAAGCCCUGAAGCCAUUGAGUCUCCGCUGCCAAGAAAAGCUCCUAAGUUUAGCCAUGAGGAUCCGUACUGCAAACCAACUCAGGUGGGUGGGAUGAAUAAUCCGAGGCGCUCGAGAGAACUCUGGCCAAGGAACUCGGCAAAAUGACCCCGUAACUUCGGAAGAAGGGGUGCUUUUUCAGGUGACCAUUUUUACAUUGGAAGCCGGAGGAAGCCGCAGUGAAUUGGUGGUGGCGACUGUUUACUAAAAACAUAGGUCUGUGCGAAGUCGCAAGACGACGUAUACGGACUGACGCCUGCCCGGUGCCGGAAGGUUAAGAGGAGAGGUCAGCGCAAGCGAAGCCUUGAAUCGAAGCCCCGGUAAACGGCGGCCGUAACUAUAACGGUCCUAAGGUAGCGAAAUUCCUUGUCGGGUAAGUUCCGACCUGCACGAAUGG
This 2000-nucleotide ribosomal RNA is filed under the name human gut metagenome. Its description in RNAcentral is "bacterial LSU rRNA". It matches the Rfam family "Bacterial large subunit ribosomal RNA", at positions 1 to 1999 of the family's 2925-position model. The record is from RNAcentral.